This 254-nucleotide ribosomal RNA is filed under the name uncultured bacterium. RNAcentral's name for it is "partial 16S ribosomal RNA". It matches the Rfam family "Bacterial small subunit ribosomal RNA", at positions 524 to 776 of the family's 1533-position model. The record is from RNAcentral.
CACGUAGGGUGCGAGCGUUGUCCGGAAUUAUUGGGCGUAAAGAGCUCGUAGGCGGUGUGUCGCGUCGGCCGUGAAAACCUGCAGCUUAACUGUGGGCUUGCGGUCGAUACGGGCAUCACUGGAGUUCGGCAGGGGAGAGUGGAAUUCCUGGUGUAGCGGUGAAAUGCGCAGAUAUCAGGAGGAACACCCGUGGCGAAAGCGGCUCUCUGGGACGGUACUGACGCUGAGACGCGAAAGCGUGGGGAGCAAACAGG